CAGCACGCACCAUGUAUCAACCGAGUCCGCUGAUUAUCACCACUAUGCUGUCAAUAGCGACGGGAGCUGUUUUUCCAGUGGGAAUGAUCAUAUGCAACAUGAAAGAAGAGACACGGCUUUAGAUGAUGCUUUGUUUAGUUUCUUCAGGAAACAGGCUGUAAAAUCUUUGAAAAUGAAUUUCUCUGAUUUUUGCAAGGAUUUUCCACCAAUGGACAAG
Molecule: long non-coding RNA, 217 nt
Organism: Lolium perenne
Lineage: Eukaryota; Viridiplantae; Streptophyta; Magnoliopsida; Poales; Poaceae
Source: RefSeq, a predicted model, not a curated record